This is a non-coding RNA of Gasterosteus aculeatus aculeatus (three-spined stickleback), 3274 nucleotides long. NCBI's taxonomy places the organism in Eukaryota, Metazoa, Chordata, Actinopteri, Perciformes, Gasterosteidae. The record is from RefSeq and is a predicted model, not a curated record.
AGCCAAUAAAUCAAUCGGACAAAUGACUUAAGAAUGCUUUGCUCAGUUUGACCGCGGACACUCAGCCACAGACUGUGACCCACAGAGAGCAAAUACAACGGGGAAGCACAUUUCUGCUGAGUUGCCGUGGUGACACGUGUGUCGGUUUCACUUAAUCCUCCUCGUGUCCUUGAACAACAUCACAACACGUACACACGCACACGCUAUCAGCUGUCAAACAGGAAAACUGGGCUCAGCUUUGAAAAAUCUGUGUGUAUGUGUGUGUGCGUGUGUGUGUGUGCGUGCAUCCUUUGCGUGACACUCUCACGCCCGACUUCCUGCGCGGGGAGGAAACAGGAAACAAUUCGCUUGGACUCGUCUGGCUCUAUCGGUUCCGUAGCGGCGACGCGCCUCUUCUGUCAAGGCUAAAAACUGGACGGGUCGAGUGGAGCGACGUCUGUUUAGCAUCUUUAACGCCAGACAAGUCGGUGGGGAGCUCCUCCUGCUCACUGUACCUCCGGAGUGUUGACUAUUUUCCCCAGCGACCACAUCAGGGCGCCGUACACCCUCAUCAACUGCUGGGUCUCUAUCUGGUCGGCCUUGUUCAGCACCACCCUGCCGAAAGACACGGUGAGGCCGGUGUGGGGGGAGAACCGCUUUUGUGCGGAUGUCACAGCAGAACCUGCACUCGGGUACCUGAUCUUGUCCUCGUGGUUCUUCAGGGCUUUUAUCACCUCCGAGAACUCGUCGGAGAUGUCCAGUUUGUGGGCGUCGAACAGCAGGAUGAUCCUGUCCACCCUCUCGGCAAACCACUCCAGGACGGCGGCGAAGUCGUAGCCUGAGAGGAGGCGAGGAACAGGGAAUGUGUAUACUUUUUAGGGAGGGUGGGGGGGUAAAGGUCACUGAGUUGAGCACAUGAGCGCGAGCAAUGAACAGCAGCUGGGAUGUCGCAAUUUUCCCAAGUAGAAGCGAUUACAAUGGCUUCAGGUCACAGAGGAGGCAACGCGCAGGACGCCCAGAUUGCGACAUGCUGAGAGGAAAGAAUGCGUGUUUACAGACGCCAGGCGGUUCUGCUUCACUAAGAAAAACUGCGUUCCGUCGUCUUACUCGGCGCAGAUUUGAUUUUUUUGUUGUUGUUGUGAAACGAUAUCGCGAUGAAGUCUCCGAAAGCGCGAAUGAGUGAAGCGGUGCCUCCGUCCUGCAGGAACAACUGAAUCAAUCCAUCGUUGCCUCCUCUGACUCUCCAAGGACGAAGCUGAGAAAGUCCAGCGGAUAUGAGAAGAGAACAAAGAACAAGCGGGCGACGUGGAGGAUUAGAGGGAGAAGGUUUCCCAACCGCACUGAAAUACGCAUAAGAGAUGCAGAUUCAAGGCAUCAGGAGCUCGGAGGCGAUAAAAAGUGAACGUUAAUUGGAUUUAAAAACCCUUUUCAACAAGCGCGUUGCUUUGCGUGUAAGUCUGACUCACGCAGACAAAGCUGCUGUUAAUAUUCACGGGAAAGCAUUUCUACGUGUGUUUAUUUAGAUGUAUUUAUUCUUAUUAACGCGAACACAAAGCCUAAAAGGCUCCUUUGCUAGAAACCAUUUCAAACGAUGUAGUUCGAGCGUUGAAUAAUUCCUCACUGGGGUGUGAACAAAAGUUUGGCAGCUUAAGCACAAAGUGGGUAAAUAUAUAUUUUUUUUUUCGUCCCGUCCAGCUGAGAGGAGACGGAGGACACUGUGGGGCGUUAAGAGAGAAAGAUACCUGGAUAUUUUGAAAUUUAGUGGAUGAUUCUUCACAGGAAGCACUUCUCACGUGUUCGAAUGCUGCGAUUCCAAUAAGUUGAUUGUGGGGAAUUUUCUUUUCCAGCGAAAUGGAUUAACAAAGCUGAGGGGAAAAAUACUGAAGAAACCAACAAAAAAUAAUUGUUGAGAAGGAAUGUCAUCGAAUUAUGUUGCCUGUUUUUUAUUCAUUUAUGCAGAUUUUUUGAAUUACAAGUUUUAUGAGUAUGUUAUAAAUGUAUUUUGUUUAUUGGGAUAAAUUAUGAAUGAACAUGGUGACAUGAAUUCUUUUAUUUUUUGGGGGACUGGGGACUUAAAUAGACAAACCACGUGAGAAGAGCCUGGUGAGGAACAUGCAGCGCUCCAUAAAGUCUUCAAAAUAUCACCUGAAUUAGCCUUUUCGUACAGUCGAUGCUCAGGUUCAUUAUACCUCCAUACUGACAUCUACGCAGGCAGCUAUAGCCCGACUCCACAUCUGCACACACACGAAUAACACUAAAUACAGACAAUGGAGACGUUGAUGAAAACGCUGUGGGGGAAAAGUAACGCUAGCACGAUGAAAACAUCACACGCACAAAAACUAAAAGCACGGGAUGAAAAGAAGAAAAGCUUCACCGUACGCGCUCAGACACACUCCUUCGCCACGGAAAACACAGCUGUGCUGACUCAGCAGACGAGAAGUUUGACCCCUGUUCUUUUUUUAUUUUUUUUAUUACCCAACAGGCAUCAGCAGGGUCGCACCUCGCUGUGCGGUUUAUUUGACAGCGCGCUCACGGGACCGAAAUGAGGUUUUCCCGCUUCGGUGAAACUUGUGCUUUUGUUGCGGAUGAAAUGUGAAACUCAACUGGUGCUGACGGAGCGUCGAUUCUCCACAGAGUCUCGUGACAAACGUUAAUCCCGACCCAACCCUGCUAUGAAGUCAUGCGCUGAACUUCACCACCAAAGAAUAAAAAAAUCUUCAUUGCAUAAUAACAAAAUGGUGAAAAAUGCUUUUCAUAGCCUUUAGCUUUCAGACUGCGAGCACAGAGAAGCCGCGGUCGUGGAGGGAGAACUCAGCGGUGAAUGAAAAGUCUUAAAAGUCAUGGCCGUCUUCUUCUUGUUGCAUGUUUAGCGGUUGCCGUGGCGAUAGCAGCAUCGGGCUCUGGGAACGCCGUCCCAUGCGUGUCACACUGAGGGAUUCCUGUAGGCCUUUCACACCUAAACCUCCCUUCACACUGUGGCCUCUUUGCUCGGCUGGGAUCUGUAGACAGUUGGUUUAAUCAAGUUUAAAUAAGCAUCAUAGAGAUGAAUAGAAUCUAAAUCUAUUUAAUUAUUUUGGCUUUCAAUUCUGUUCUCAAAUUAAGUUUUAGAGCUUAUUCCCAUUAGCUUAUCUGCGCAAAAAGACAUAAGCACCAGCGAAUAAUCUAAUUAACCUUUUUAUUUUCCCUACACUUAUUACAGGUCUCCUGUGACCUGUAUUUAGACAUUUUGUGUGUUGUUUUUCUUAUUUUAUAUCCUCAUCACAGUAAAACUUGGGAAUGUGAACCAAGGGAAAUC